AGAGUUUGAUCCUGGCUCAGAUUGAACGCUGGCGGCAUGCCUUACACAUGCAAGUCGAACGGCAGCACGGGUGCUUGCACCUGGUGGCGAGUGGCGAACGGGUGAGUAAUAUAUCGGAACGUACCUUAUCGUGGGGGAUAACGCAGCGAAAGCUGCGCUAAUACCGCAUACGCCCUGAGGGGGAAAGCGGGGGACCGUAAGGCCUCGCGCGAUUAGAGCGGCCGAUAUCUGAUUAGCUUGUUGGUGGGGUAAAAGCCCACCAAGGCGACGAUCAGUAGCUGGUCUGAGAGGACGAUCAGCCACACUGGGACUGAGACACGGUCCAGACUCCUACGGGAGGCAGCAGUGGGGAAUUUUGGACAAUGGGGGCAACCCUGAUCCAGCAAUGCCGCGUGAGUGAAGAAGGCCUUCGGGUUGAAAAGCUCUUUUGUCAGGGAAGAAACAGCAGCUCUAACACAGUCUGCGAAUGACGGUACCUGAAGAAUAAGCACCGGCUAACUACGUGCCAACAGCCGUGGUAAUACGUAGGGUGCAAGCGUUAAUCGGAAUUACUGGGCGUAUAGCGUGCGCAGGCGGUUAUACAAGACAGGC
Molecule: ribosomal RNA, 591 nt
Filed under: uncultured freshwater bacterium
Lineage: Bacteria
Description: bacterial SSU rRNA
Rfam family: Bacterial small subunit ribosomal RNA
Source: RNAcentral